CCCUUCUCUGAACAUUAUACACAGAAGUGGCCAGUCUGGACUGUGGGCGGAACUGAACCUCUCGUUCGUAAUUCCUCGGAGUGGAAGCCAUGCGUGCGAGGAAGCUCUGAGAUCAAAUUGAGAUCCUUCUGUCCCGUCCCCGUAGCGGUCAGUGUAUAGAAGUGGGAAAACCUGGCCUAGACUGUAAUUUCCUCUGCUUUCUGUGUAAUUCUCGUUUCUGUUUAAGUGUCGGCAGACAAAUGGGUGGGUCUCUGGGUAAACCCUCUAAGGAUAGUCCUUUAAAUUAUAUGUUAAGUAAAUGGCCUUUGUCCAAUGGGCCAUGUGUUUUUGUCCAGGUGGCAAGCCUCACGAGGGAGGACUCAGGUAGUCUUGUGAGUAAAAAUGUUGAAGGGAAGAGACCAGGAGGGGUGGGGGCUAGUUGAGAAGCCCACCCUCCUAGCUAAACUGGCGGUGGAACAAGUUGAUGCCCAUGGAAGGGACGGUUCAGCAAGAAAAGCAGGAUCGGGCCCAGGCAGGCAACAGACAGAGAGAUUGGAAAACGGGUUGGAAAACUUUGAGGGUGUAGUGGAAGGAAGGAGUCAGUAAGUGUAAGCAUGGGGAUUUCAAAUACCCAGGACUUACUUGGAAUGGUGAGUUAGGUUGAUAAAAGUGGCUGUCGGGAGACAAGCAAGUGAUUUAAGGGAGAGGGAGAAGUUAACUCUGUAGUUGCUGGA
Chelonoidis abingdonii (Abingdon island giant tortoise) is the source of this 713-nucleotide long non-coding RNA. RefSeq lists it as uncharacterized. The record is from RefSeq and is a predicted model, not a curated record. NCBI's taxonomy places the organism in Eukaryota, Metazoa, Chordata, Testudines, Testudinidae.